GCGGAGGAAAAGAAACCAACAGGGAUUGCCUCAGUAACGGCGAGUGAAGCGGCAAGAGCUCAACUUUGGAAUCGCUCCGGCGAGUUGUAGUCUGGAGGUGGCCACCACGAGGUGUUCUAGCAGCAGGCAAGUCCUUUGGAACAAGGCGCCAGCGAGGGUGACAGCCCCGUACCUGCUUUUGCUAGUGCUUCCUGUGGCCCACCGACGAGUCGAGUUGUUUGGGAAUGCAGCUCUAAGUGGGUGGUAAAUUCCAUCUAAGGCUAAAUAUUGGCGAGAGACCGAUAGCGAACAAGUACAGUGAUGGAAAGAUGAAAAGCACUUUGAAAAGAGAGUGAAACAGUACGUGAAAUUGUUGAAAGGGAAGGGCUUGCACCCAGACACGGUUUCGGCCGGGCCAGCAUCAAGUAGAACGGGGUUAAAAGACUUGGGGAAUGUAGCUACUUCGGUAGUGUUAUAGCCCUUGGUGAUGACCCCUGUUUUGCUUGAGGACAGCGGUCUCUAGGAUGCUGGCGCAAUGGUUGCAAGCCACCCGUC
RNAcentral lists this ribosomal RNA (534 nucleotides) under Candidozyma auris. Its description in RNAcentral is "[Candida] auris partial large subunit ribosomal RNA". It matches the Rfam family "Eukaryotic large subunit ribosomal RNA", at positions 50 to 653 of the family's 3401-position model. Lineage: Eukaryota; Fungi; Ascomycota; Pichiomycetes; Serinales; Metschnikowiaceae. The record is from RNAcentral.